UGGGGAAUUUUGGACAAUGGGCGAAAGCCUGAUCCAGCAAUGCCGCGUGUGUGAAGAAGGCCUUCGGGUUGUAAAGCACUUUUGUCCGGAAAGAAAUCCUUGGCUCUAAUACAGUCGGGGGAUGACGGUACCGGAAGAAUAAGCACCGGCUAACUACGUGCCAGCAGCCGCGGUAAUACGUAGGGUGCAAGCGUUAAUCGGAAUUACUGGGCGUAAAGCGUGCGCAGGCGGUUUGCUAAGACCGAUGUGAAAUCCCCGGGCUCAACCUGGGAACUGCAUUGGUGACUGACAGGCUAGAGUAUGGCAGAGGGGGGUAGAAUUCCACGUGUAGCAGUGAAAUGCGUAGAGAUGUGGAGGAAUACCGAUGGCGAAGGCAGCCCCCUGGGCCAAUACUGACGCUCAUGCACGAAAGCGUGGGGAGCAAACAGGAUUAGAUACCCUGGUAGUCCACGCCCUAAACGAUGUCAACUAGUUGUUGGGGAUUCAUUUCCUUAGUAACGUAGCUAACGCGUGAAGUUGACCGCCUGGGGAGUACGGUCGCAAGAUUAAAACUUAAGGAAUUGACGGGGUCAUAGCUGUUUCCU
This 584-nucleotide ribosomal RNA is filed under the name uncultured bacterium. RNAcentral's name for it is "partial 16S ribosomal RNA". It matches the Rfam family "Bacterial small subunit ribosomal RNA", at positions 355 to 1375 of the family's 1533-position model. The record is from RNAcentral.